UGAGUUAAAUAUAACUUAAGCUCCAUCAACAUUCUCCAUCGCAUGCUGUUGAUUACAACAGGAAAUGUACUUUAAAAAAAAAAAAAAAAGCAUGUCGCUGCUUAUAAUGCAGCUCCAUUUUUCUCAAUGAACUUGCUUUGUAAGUGGAUUUCAAUCAACAUAUUUGGUUUUCAAAUUUGUUUCCAAGCUGUCAGACAAGUAUUUCUGUUAUAAACUAAAUUAUGCUACAGAGUUGCACCAUAGUUUAAAGGGACAGUUCACCCAAAAAUGAAAAUUGUCAUUUGUCAAAAUGGUCAUCCUGAUGUUGUUCCAAACAUGUAUGACUUUUUUUCAGUGAGACACAAAAUAAAAUAAUUUGAUGAAUGUUUUUGUUCUUACAGUGAAUGUCAGUGGGGUCCAAAACAGCAUUUGGACUCUACUGAUCACAAAGAGACAUUUUUCGAAAUAGUCCAAAUUCAUAAUAAUAUUUUAUGUUCAGUUUAGGUAUUAUAAAUAUUCUAAUAUUUUCUUUUGUGUUCCACAGGGAAAAAAAAUUGAGUAAAUUGUCCCUUUAAAUCUGAUUUAACUCAGAAUGUAGUAGUUUAGGGUGCAAAGGUUUUGAGAAUUAUCCAUCUCAUUUUAAUCCAGAUCACUUGUUCUGUUUAAGAAGACAAUGGCAUGAUUUAGCCCACUGAAUUUGCAAUGUUUCCUGUCAAAAUGCACGUAUUUCGCUCCUGGCAUUGAAAUGCCAUAUUGAUUGUGCGUAGUUUAUAUUUGGAGCCAUCAAAAACUUGACUCGGGCCUUAGAGCGCCACUGAAACUUGACCCAGGCCUCUUCGGUGUGGUGUAUAUCCCACCCAGAGCACAAUUCAAGAGGGUUGUUAUUCGUUUCCUAUGCGGACUCCAGGUCGUGUUACUUAGCUAUUAGUAUAGCCCGAAGUUUAACAACUGCCUUUCCAAAUCACUGUGCUGUUCUUGAGCCAUGUUAAACCCCUAAAGUGACAGGCCAGGCCCGGAAUGAGCGCCUGUGGGGAUGCUCGAGGAUUUUGCGAAGUCCCGUCUCACAGGCGUGUCCGUAAUCCUCCGGGGCUGUGUGACAUAAUGCGGUGAGGAGAUUAUCUCCCGUGCCAGUUUUGCAAAAGGAGGUUAGCAGAAAAAAAGCCGGUGUACAGUUACCUGCGGCGCUACUUAAGCAGUCUCCUGUCUGUCCCAAACGCCCGCCUUGUUACCCUUACAACACUGGCCCAGCAAGACUAAGCUAUGGUUUUAUAUGCUAACUCUGACAGCUGACUGUUAUACUGCUGAGCUAGAACCACAUGCGCCUAGGACGAGAGUGUGUACGACGCACACUGCGAUUGUCAAACACUUUAUACCACACAAGCACCUUUUGAUUUUCACAUUCGAUUCACGCUGCUUAACUUAUGUGAAACGCUUUAAGAACUUCAUCUCAGAUGUUAGCUACGACUGAUCUGCCUUAUCUUACGUUAAUGCUUCUUUGCCGCUUCAUACGUAAAUCGACUUUGUAAAUUGUUACAAAAAGUACAAGCUUGAUGCAUUCAUUGUCAGGGAUUGCGGUUGGGUUUUCAUCACAUGUUAGACUUAGUAAUUAAGUCACAGUUCCAGCCUGCAUGAGUUAGACAAGGACACCAAAACAAAGUAUGUUCUAAUUGGAAUAAAUAAAUGUGAACACUGAUUAGUUCCGUCCAGGUGUUUGGAUAAUGCUUCUUUUUAUCAGACUUGUGCUGUGUGGCUCACAAUUAUGAAAAGCCAAACAUGCAUGUAAAAUCAACUCCCCUGAUCUUUAAUAUGCCGUUUUGGUGGAUUUUUUUUGAAGACAUGUGACUUGAGAUUAUUUCACAUGUAGUCUAUGUUUGGCUCAAAUGCAGCUUUGUCUGUUAGAAACAUGGAAACAGUCACGCUCUUCUAAGUAUGUGAAGCCUAAGGAGAGGUAGUAGAUCUAACACUGUAUUAAAACACCAUCUAUGACUAUAUAAAUGUGGUCCGCUCCAAAACAGAAUGAAGAUGUUGUGCAUAAAGUGCAAAUUAUGCAUAUUCCCUCUCGACUUGUACCAGUGUGAAAUAUUUUUAGCUUAUAUCAUGUUUUCAUUUUUAUGUCACAAAUGUCUUUUUUAUAAAGAGUAUAUAUUACAGUAUUAAAUAAAAAAUGUCUUCUGUU
Molecule: long non-coding RNA, 2155 nt
Organism: Cyprinus carpio carpio
Lineage: Eukaryota; Metazoa; Chordata; Actinopteri; Cypriniformes; Cyprinidae
Source: Ensembl